AUCAACGCUGGCGGCGUGCCUAACACAUGCAAGUCGAACGAGAAAGUGGGGGCAACCCCAUGAGUAAAGUGGCAGACGGGUGAGUAACACGUGAACAACCUACCCUCGAGUGUGGGAUAACACCGCGAAAGCGGUGCUAAUACCGCAUAAUAUCUUCGGGUCGCAUGAUUUGAAGAUCAAAAGCGCAAGUUGCUUGAGGAGGGGUUCGCGCCUGAUUAGCUAGUUGGUGAGGUAACGGCCCACCAAGGCUUCGAUCAGUAGCCGGCCUGAGAGGGCGAACGGCCACACUGGAACUGAGACACGGUCCAGACUCCUACGGGAGGCAGCAGUGGGGAAUUUUGCGCAAUGGGCGAAAGCCUGACGCAGCAACGCCGCGUGGAGGAUGAAGGCCUUCGGGUCGUAAACUCCUGUCAGUAGGGACGAAUGCCUCGCAAGAGGUUUGACUGUACCUGCUGAGGAAGCCACGGCUAACUCCGUGCCAGCAGCCGCGGUAAUACGGAGGUGGCAAGCGUUGUUCGGAAUUACUGGGCGUAAAGGGCGCGUAGGCGGUAUUGCAAGUCAGAUGUGAAAGCCCCGAGCUUAACUCGGGAAUUGCAUCUGAAACUGCUUUGCUUGAGUCCUGGAGGGGGUAGUGGAAUUCCCAGUGUAGCGGUGAAAUGCGUAGAUAUUGGGAGGAACACCUGCGGCGAAGGCGGCUACCUGGACAGUGACUGACGCUGAGGCGCGAAAGCUAGGGGAGCGAACGGGAUUAGAUACCCCGGUAGUCCUAGCUGUAAACGAUGGGCACUUGGUGUUGGGGGUAUUGAGUCCCUCGGUGCCGGAGUUAACACGUUAAGUGCCCCGCCUGGGGAGUACGGUCGCAAGACUGAAACUCAAAU
RNAcentral lists this ribosomal RNA (878 nucleotides) under uncultured bacterium. RNAcentral describes it as "bacterial SSU rRNA". It matches the Rfam family "Bacterial small subunit ribosomal RNA", at positions 29 to 906 of the family's 1533-position model. The record is from RNAcentral.